This 72-nucleotide transfer RNA is filed under the name compost metagenome. Its description in RNAcentral is "tRNA-Gly". It matches the Rfam family "tRNA". Rfam says of the family: Transfer RNA (tRNA) molecules are approximately 80 nucleotides in length. Their secondary structure includes four short double-helical elements and three loops (D, anti-codon, and T loops). The record is from RNAcentral.
GCGGGAUUGCUCAAGGCGAGCACCCAGCCUUCCAAGCUGAUUAGAUCGGUUCGAUUCCGAUAUGCCGCUCCA